CCCGUACCGAAACCGACACAGGUAGGCAGGAUGAGAAUUCUAAGGUGCGCGGGAAAACCCUCGUUAAGGAACUCGGCAAAAUAUAUCCGUAACUUCGGGAAAAGGAUAACCCAGCGUACGUGAAGUGCAGAAACGCAUGGAGCGGAGAUGGGUGGCAGAAGAGAGGCCCAAGCGACUGUUUACCACAAACACAGGCGUCUGCUAAAGCGAAAGCUGAUGUAUAGAUGCUGACACCUGCCCGGUGCUGGAAGGUUAAGAGGAAGUGUUAGCGCAAGCGAAGCAGUGAAUUGAAGCCCCAGUAAACGGCGGCCGUAACUAUAACGGUCCUAAGGUAGCGAAAUUCCUUGUCGGSURACUGA
This 359-nucleotide ribosomal RNA is filed under the name Megasphaera sp. BL7. RNAcentral describes it as "bacterial LSU rRNA". It matches the Rfam family "Bacterial large subunit ribosomal RNA", at positions 1641 to 1983 of the family's 2925-position model. Lineage: Bacteria; Bacillati; Bacillota; Negativicutes; Veillonellales; Veillonellaceae. The record is from RNAcentral.